CCUGUCGGUACUUGAAGAAGCGGAGCCAGGGCUGAGAUCCCGAAGGCGGGCGAGGUCUGGGAUGGGGCGGGGCCUAUGGGAGCGGGGCUGAAGCCCUGGGCCCGGCAGAGGAAGGUCGAGAUGGACCAUGUUGGGCCCCUUCUCUCCCCGCCCCCAGGCCGCAGUUCGGGGGCCACGCCCCGGCGUGCUCGGGUCACCGCGGGAAGCCCUUGAACCCCCUGGCGCCCGGCACCCACGUGCGGUAACCGCGGCUCCUCGAGAGCUCCAGGGAUGCGGAUCUACAGUAAGGGCUGUGGCCAGAUGAAUGAAUGCACAUUUUUUAGUGGGCAGAAAGAUGUUAGAAUUCAUGAAUUAGAAUAAGCACAAAGGAGGGCGAGAGGGGAGGCCGUGGAAGCCGCAUUCCUCCCCUUGCCUUGGGCGCCCACCCCCGAAGGGGCGCGUCCCCUCCCUGCUCCACUGCACGUGGGUGUUUAACCAGGGGAUAUCCAGUGCCUCAAGCACCACGACCCGGGAGAAAACUGAGUUGAGAAGGCCUUGGGGAUGAAGGUGAGAAAUUCGAGAAUCCCCGGAGAUAACACAUCAGCAAAUAGUGCGCAGGCAGAACAAGCUGUUGGAGGUGAGAGACACAGAGCAGAGAAGCACCCGCACCUGGAGAGUCAGGAGGGCCUCACAUCAGAACGCCUGAGCAAAUACAGUUUUGAAGGAUACUAAUUUUUUAAAAAGUUCAUUCACAUGAGUUAGACAAAGAGAAAGAAGCAGGACAUUCUAGGAAGAAGGAACGGCCCAGGCAAAAGCGACGCGUACAUUGGCGUGGGUCCAUUCAAGAAUUGUGCCCACAAUAUACCAGGCACUUGUCCAGACCUGCAUCGUCCAAUGCCCACCUCGACCUCCCAAAGUGUUGGGAUUAGAGGCGUGAGCCACCGCGCCCUGCCUGCAUGUGGCUAUUGAGAUGUGCUGUAUG
This 961-nucleotide long non-coding RNA is filed under the name Homo sapiens (human). Its description in RNAcentral is "non-protein coding RNASEH1-AS1:10". Lineage: Eukaryota; Metazoa; Chordata; Mammalia; Primates; Hominidae. The record is from RNAcentral.